This 425-nucleotide ribosomal RNA is filed under the name uncultured bacterium. RNAcentral's name for it is "bacterial SSU rRNA". It matches the Rfam family "Bacterial small subunit ribosomal RNA", at positions 355 to 796 of the family's 1533-position model. The record is from RNAcentral.
UUAGGAAUCUUGCGCAAUGGACGAAAGUCUGACGCAGCAACGCCGCGUGAGGGAUGAAGGCUCUCGGGUUGUAAACCUCUUUCAGCAGGAACGAAAUUGACGGUACCCACAGAAGAAGCACCGGCCAACUACGUGCCAGCAGCCGCGGUAAUACGUAGGGUGCAAGCGUUGUCCGGAUUUAUUGGGCGUAAAGAGCUCGUAGGCGGCUUAGAAAGUCAGGUGUGAAAACUCUGGGCUCAACCCAGAGACGCCACUUGAUACUUCUAUGGCUUGAGUUCGGUAGGGGACCAUGGAAUUCCUGGUGUAGCGGUGAAAUGCGCAGAUAUCAGGAGGAACACCGAUGGCGAAGGCAGUGGUCUGGGCCGAUACUGACGCUGAGGAGCGAAAGCGUGGGGAGCGAACAGGAUUAGAUACCCCGGUAGUCC